UACGAAGGGGGCUAGCGUUGCUCGGAAUCACUGGGCGUAAAGCGCACGUAGGCGGACUCUUAAGUCGGUGGUGAAAUCCUGGAGCUCAACUCCAGAACUGCCUUCGAUACUGAGAGUCUUGAGUCCGGGAGAGGUGAGUGGAACUGCGAGUGUAGAGGUGAAAUUCGUAGAUAUUCGGAAGAACACCAGUGGCGAAGGCGGC
Molecule: ribosomal RNA, 202 nt
Filed under: uncultured bacterium
Lineage: Bacteria
Description: partial 16S ribosomal RNA
Rfam family: Bacterial small subunit ribosomal RNA
Source: RNAcentral